CCUACGGGGGGCAGCAGUGGGGAAUCUUCCGCAAUGGGCGAAAGCCUGCCGGAGCAACGCCGCGUGAUCGAAUGAAGGCCUUCGGGUUGUAAAGAUCUGUUGACAGGGACGAAUAAGCCAUGCGAAUAGUUUGGUGUAUGACGGUACCUGUUUAGAAAGCUCCGGCUAACUACGUGCCAGCAGCCGCGGUAAUACGUAGGGAGCAAGCGUUGUCCGGAAUUACUGGGCGUAAAGGGCGAGUAGGUGGGUGCUUAAGUCAGGUGUGAAAACUCUGGGCUCAACCUGGGGACUGCACGUGAAACUGGGGAUCUUGAGGGCAGGAGAGGAAAGUGGAAUUCCUAGUGUAGCGGUGAAAUGCGUAGAUAUUAGGAGGAACACCAGUGGCGAAGGCGACUUUCUGGACUGUACCUGACGCUGAGGCGCGAAAGCGUGGGUAGCGAACGGGAUUAGAUACCCGGGUAGUC
This 464-nucleotide ribosomal RNA is filed under the name uncultured bacterium. RNAcentral's name for it is "partial 16S ribosomal RNA". It matches the Rfam family "Bacterial small subunit ribosomal RNA", at positions 338 to 795 of the family's 1533-position model. The record is from RNAcentral.